This is a long non-coding RNA of Sinocyclocheilus grahami, 109 nucleotides long. RefSeq lists it as uncharacterized. Lineage: Eukaryota; Metazoa; Chordata; Actinopteri; Cypriniformes; Cyprinidae. The transcript is spliced from 3 exons. The record is from RefSeq and is a predicted model, not a curated record.
UUGCCAUGCCCAUCUUGGGACUCGGCCGUGAAGUCAGUGCUGAAGCGGUCUCAUACGAAGCAACCCGAGCGGUAUGACCGCCGCUGCGGAUGCCAUAUGCCCCUGGAGC